CCUACGGGUGGCAGCAGUGAGGAAUAUUGGUCAAUGGACGAAAGUCUGAACCAGCCAUGCCGCGUGCAGGAAGACGGCUCUAUGAGUUGUAAACUGCUUUUGUACGAGGGUAAACGCAGAUACGCGUAUCUGUCUGAAAGUAUCGUACGAAUAAGGAUCGGCUAACUCCGUGCCAGCAGCCGCGGUAAUACGGAGGAUUCAAGCGUUAUCCGGAUUUAUUGGGUUUAAAGGGUGCGUAGGCGGUCGGAUAAGUUAGAGGUGAAAUCCCGAGGCUCAACUUCGGAAUUGCCUCUGAUACUGUGCGGCUAGAGAGUAGUUGAGGUAGGCGGAAUGUAUGGUGUAGCGGUGAAAUGCUUAGAGAUCACACAGAACACCGAUUGCGAAGGCAGCUUACCAGGCUACUUCUGACGUUGAGGCACGAAAGCGUGGGGAGCAAACAGGAUUAGAUACCCCUGUAGUC
RNAcentral lists this ribosomal RNA (460 nucleotides) under uncultured bacterium. RNAcentral describes it as "partial 16S ribosomal RNA". It matches the Rfam family "Bacterial small subunit ribosomal RNA", at positions 338 to 795 of the family's 1533-position model. The record is from RNAcentral.